AGACACCACUGGCAGAGAGGAGACCAAGAUCACCCAGAUGGUUUUCCCAGGGAGAGAUCUGUCCAUUGCACUCCAGAUGUGCCGGCCACUGUGAUGUCCCCAGUAGUAAUGGGGUACUGCAUUUGUACUUCCCCUUA
RNAcentral lists this small nuclear RNA (137 nucleotides) under Spermophilus dauricus (Daurian ground squirrel). RNAcentral's name for it is "U1 spliceosomal RNA (ENSSDAG00000019780.1)". The record is from RNAcentral. Lineage: Eukaryota; Metazoa; Chordata; Mammalia; Rodentia; Sciuridae.